UUACCGUAGGUGAACCUGCGGAAGGAUCAUUAUUGUAUAACCGAGGUGCGAGGGCUGUCGCUGACCCGAAAGGUCGUGCACGCCCGAGUGCCCUCACACACAUCCAUCUCACCCCUAUGUGCACCACCGCGUGGGUCACCCUUUGGCUUGUUCGGAGGGGGGCUUACGUUUUCACACAAACUUUGUAUGCAGUGUAGAAUGUAUUUUUUGUUUUUGCGAUCACGCAAUCAAUACAACUUUCAACAACGGAUCUCUUGGCUCUC
This 263-nucleotide unclassified non-coding RNA is filed under the name plant metagenome. RNAcentral describes it as "partial contains small subunit ribosomal RNA, internal transcribed spacer 1, and 5.8S ribosomal RNA". The record is from RNAcentral.